CCUACCUGGUUGAUCCUGCCAGUAGUCCAUAUGCUUGUUCCAAAGAUUAAGCCAUGCAUGUCUAAGUCCAAGCUGUGUGUGAGAUGUGUCUCUCUUACUCACGGCGAAACCGCGGACGGCUCAUUAAAUCAGUUGUGGUCUAAAUGUGACAGCGUUAUCUUACUUGGAUAACUGUGGUAAUUCCAGAGCUAAUACAUGCAACGUAUAGUCCGAGCUCCGAGGGUACCUUUCUGCCGCUUCUGCGUGCUUGAUUGUGCUUUAUCGGUUGCGACGGCUGCUUUUAUUAGACCAAACCGCGAAGGGUUUAGUGUAUGACACUGCGGAGAGUCUGAGUAUACCCUGUGUCCCCUUGGUAUCUGUCUCUCUUAACGCACGUUGUGCCUAUCCCAUUGACUCGUGUAAUACGGUGACUCCGGAUAACAAACCAAUGACAAGCGCUCGUAUCCAUUAACUUGGGACGGCGCUUCCACUUUCGAGUGUCUGCCUUAUCAGCUAUGUAUCGUUGGCUAUAUGCUACCGAUGGCUUUGACGGGUAACGGGGAAUCAGGGUUCGAUUCCGGAGAGGCAGCCUGAGAAACGGCUACCACGUCCAAGGACGGCAGCAGGCACGCAAAUUACCCAAUCCCAGCACAAGUGUGUGGGGAGGUAGUGACGGAAUAUAACGAUGCGGGCGCCUCUUCGGGGGCCUCGCAAUCGGAAUGAGCACGUAUAUAUCUUUCUAAACAAGCUUUGAUAUAAAAAGAGAACCCACUGAAGGGCAAGUCUGGUGCCAGCAGCCGCGGUAAUUCCAGCUUCAGUAGCAUCUACUAAAGUUGCUGCGGUUAAAAGGCUCGCAGUUGAAUGUCAGUACAGAGCCAAGUGAAGGUGGACGUUGGGGUGAUGUGUGUGUCUGCGUGACUGUGUGUUGUCUGGGCGCAAGCUCUCUCAGCCGCAGUGUGCGCGCAUAUGUCUAUAUAGCUCCCGUCCGUACAAAGCCUCCUGGCUCUCGUUCAAAGUGGAAUAUGUAUCGGUUUAAUGUGUGUGCUAUCCAAGGGUUUGCGAGAGACUAACGUCUCGAGCUCUCUCUAUCGCGGUGGUGAUAUAAAGAGUCGGUCUUUUCCAAAGUUACCUUGAGUAAAUCGGAAUGCUUAAGCAGUGUCGUGUAUAUAUGAUGUAUAUAUCUCUCUGACAGUCUUGGUUUUGCAUGGUAUGUCGAAAGACGCCGUCAUCUAUCCCUUCGGUAACGAGUCUGGUGCGGGCUCGCAUCUGCCAUACACAUGCACUUCGGUGUGUGUGCUUGUGGUUAGCGUGACGAGUAUAACAGACCGAAGGGAGCGGAAUGAUUAAGAGGAACGGUCGAAGGUCGAGGUAUUGCGAGGCGAGAGGUGAAAUUCUAUGACCCCCGCAAGACCACCCGAAGCGAAAGCGUCUGCCAAGGACGUCUUCAUUAAUCAUGAACGAAAGUUAGAGGAUCGAAGGCGAUCAGAUACCGCCCUAGUUCUAACUGUAAACGAUACCAACCAUCUAUCCGUGCGUAGCACCCUUGUUAACGGGCUCGGCGGGAAGCUCCCCUCUCACGGGAAACCAGAGUCUCUGGGUUCCGGGGGGAGUCUGGUUGCAAAGCUGAAACUUAAAGGAAUUGACGGAAAGGAACCACCAGGCGUGGAGCCUGCGGCUUAAUUUGACUCAACACGGGCCAUCCUACCAGGCCAGUACUCUCGAACGAUUGACAGAUUGAGAGUUCUUUCUCGAUCGAGUGGAUGGUGGUGCAUGGCCGUUCUUAGUUGGUGGAGUGAUCUGUCUGGUUAAUUCCGAUAACGAACGAGACUCUCCCCUGUUAAAUAGUCGGUUGGAUCUUGCGUUUGGAGAGUUGUGUCUCAUGGGUGCAGUAAAUGUAUCGAGUGAAUAUGUGUGGUGCGCUACAGAGGGUUGUUCACGGUGUUCGCAUCGUGCGUCUUUAGACAUCUCUCUUAACGUGUGCUAUGUGUGUCUCGCACGGUCGUUUAUAUCUGUUUCUAACUCGUGUUACACACUCCAAGUCCGCCGCUUAUCGCUUAUGACUCUGAUGGCAAAACGUGAUGUUUAAUGGCAAAGCUAUGUUUAUCGGAUGGUGUGUGUGGUAACACUCUUCUUAGAGGGAUUCACGGUUCUGAAACCGUAUGAGAAACUGAGAGCAAUAACAGGUCUGUGAUGCCCUUAGAUGUUCUGGGCCGCACGCGCGCUACAAUGCCGGGCUCAGCGGGUGUGUGUGUGUCUCUAUAUAUCCUGCUCCGAGAGGAGUGGGGUAAUCCUCUGAAAGCCUUUCAAACAAUUUUCAAAAAGAUAUCUCUCGCUACGGCUUACGCUUGUAUGUGAUUGUUUCUUUAGACUUGGCUUGCUUGGGCCUGGGGCUUGCAAUUCUUUCCCACAAACGAGGAAUGCCUAGUAGCGGCGAAUCACUGAGUUGGCUGUGACUAAGUCCCUGCCCUUUGUACACACCGCCCGUCGCUACUACCGAUUGGGUGUUCCAGUGAGAGCUUUGGAUUGGCGAGCCUCGCGCGUAUCCUUGUGAUCGUGUGAGUGUGUACGACGAGAAGAGGUUCGAACUGGUGCACUUAGAGGAAGUAAAAGUCGUAACAAGGUUUCCGUAGGUGAACCUGCGGAAGGAUCAUUA
RNAcentral lists this ribosomal RNA (2632 nucleotides) under Astyra abyssi. Its description in RNAcentral is "18S ribosomal RNA". It matches the Rfam family "Eukaryotic small subunit ribosomal RNA". Lineage: Eukaryota; Metazoa; Arthropoda; Malacostraca; Amphipoda; Stilipedidae. The record is from RNAcentral.